GACGAACGCUGGCGGCAUGCCUAAUACAUGCAAGUCGAGCGAAUGAAGAAGAAGCUUGCUUCUUUCUGAUUUAGCGGCGGACGGGUGAGUAACACGUGGGCAACCUGCCCUGUAGAUUGGGAUAACUCCGGGAAACCGGGGCUAAUACCGAAUAACCCAUUUCCUCACAUGUGGAAAUGUUAAAAGACGGUCUCGGCUGUCACUACAGGAUGGGCCCGCGGCGCAUAGCUAGUUGGUAGGGUAACGGCCUACCAAGGCGACGAUGCGUAGCCGACCUGAGAGGGUGAUCGGCCACACUGGGACUGAGACACGGCCCAGACUCCUACGGGAGGCAGCAGUAGGGAAUCUUCCACAA
Molecule: ribosomal RNA, 355 nt
Filed under: uncultured bacterium
Lineage: Bacteria
Description: bacterial SSU rRNA
Rfam family: Bacterial small subunit ribosomal RNA
Source: RNAcentral